UGGCUCGUAGCUCAGGGGCAGAGCGUCCGCCUGUUGAGCGGAGAAUCGCAGGUUCGAUCCCUGCCGAGCCAGCCA
RNAcentral lists this transfer RNA (75 nucleotides) under Nocardia huaxiensis. RNAcentral describes it as "Nocardia sp. WCH-YHL-001 tRNA-Asn". It matches the Rfam family "tRNA". Rfam says of the family: Transfer RNA (tRNA) molecules are approximately 80 nucleotides in length. Their secondary structure includes four short double-helical elements and three loops (D, anti-codon, and T loops). Lineage: Bacteria; Bacillati; Actinomycetota; Actinomycetes; Mycobacteriales; Nocardiaceae. The record is from RNAcentral.